UCUAAGAGUGGCAGAAAAGUGCAAUGAACUUAAAAUUCAAAUAUAAAUUCAAUUUUCCUUAGAA
This 64-nucleotide transfer RNA is filed under the name Lophops carinata. RNAcentral's name for it is "tRNA-Leu". The record is from RNAcentral. Lineage: Eukaryota; Metazoa; Arthropoda; Insecta; Hemiptera; Lophopidae.